ACGUAGGUGGCAAGCGUUGUCCGGAUUUAUUGGGCGUAAAGCGAGUGCAGGCGGUUCAAUAAGUCUGAUGUGAAAGCCUUCGGCUCAACCGAAGAAUUGCAUCAGAAACUGUUGAACUUGAGUGCAGAAGAGGAGAGUGGAACUCCAUGUGUAGCGGUGGAAUGCGUAGAUAUAUGGAAGAACACCAGUGGCGAAGGCGGCUCUCUGGUCUGCAACUGACGCUGAGGCUCGAAAGCAUGGGUAGCGAACAGGAUUAGAUACCCUGGUAGUCCAUGCCGUAAACGAUGAGUGCUAAGUGUUGGGAGGUUUCCGCCUCUCAGUGCUGCAGCUAACGCAUUAAGCACUCCGCCUGGGGAGUACGACCGCAAGGUUG
This 373-nucleotide ribosomal RNA is filed under the name uncultured bacterium. Its description in RNAcentral is "bacterial SSU rRNA". It matches the Rfam family "Bacterial small subunit ribosomal RNA", at positions 525 to 896 of the family's 1533-position model. The record is from RNAcentral.